Molecule: ribosomal RNA, 391 nt
Filed under: uncultured bacterium
Lineage: Bacteria
Description: bacterial SSU rRNA
Rfam family: Bacterial small subunit ribosomal RNA
Source: RNAcentral
GACGAACGCUGGCGGCGUGCUUAACACAUGCAAGUCGAGCGGUAAGGCCCUUUCGGGGGUACGACGAGCGGCGAACGGGUGAGUAACACGUGGGUGACCUGCCCUCAGCUCUGGGAUAAGCCUGGGAAACCGGGUCUAAUACCGGAUAUGACUCCAUGACGCAUGUUGUGGGGUGGAAAGCCUUGUGCGGCUGAGGAUGGGCCCGCGGCCUAUCAGCUUGUUGGUGGGGUGAGGCCUACCAAGGCGACGACGGGUAGCCGGCCUGAGAGGGCGACCGGCCACACUGGGACUGAGACACGGCCCAGACUCCUACGGGAGGCAGCAGUGGGGAAUCUUGCGCAAUGGGCGAAAGCCUGACGCAGCGACGCCGCGUGAGGGAUGACGGCCUGGU